Camelina sativa (false flax) is the source of this 157-nucleotide non-coding RNA. The record is from RefSeq and is a predicted model, not a curated record. Lineage: Eukaryota; Viridiplantae; Streptophyta; Magnoliopsida; Brassicales; Brassicaceae.
AAAAAUUGGAAAAUCUGACUCAAAGAUGAAGCUGGUGAUCCUAUUAUCCUUCUUGCUCGUUCUCCCAAUGUUUUCUUCAGGAAUUGAGACUUCGCAUCUUGACAACGUCCACCACAAGAUUAAAGAGAAGGUGGUGAUGAAUGCAAGAAGAAUUGAU